This 332-nucleotide ribosomal RNA is filed under the name uncultured bacterium. Its description in RNAcentral is "bacterial SSU rRNA". It matches the Rfam family "Bacterial small subunit ribosomal RNA", at positions 568 to 898 of the family's 1533-position model. The record is from RNAcentral.
CGUGCAGGCGGCCUCUUAAGUCUGGUGUGAAAGCCCGGGGCUUACCCCCGGAAGGGCACUGGAAACUGGGAGGCUAGAGUACCGGAGAGGAGGGUGGAAUUCCUGGUGUAGCGGUGAAAUGCGUAGAUAUCAGGAGGAACACCGGUGGCGAAGGCGGCCCUCUGGACGGAUACUGACGCUGAGACGCGAAAGCGUGGGGAGCAAACAGGAUUAGAUACCCUGGUAGUCCACGCUGUAAACGAUGGGCACUAGGUGUUCGGGGUAUUGACCCCCUGAGUGCCGCAGCUAACGCAUUAAGUGCCCCGCCUGGGGACUACGGCCGCAAGGUUAAA